AGACAAGCUGUCUCCCUGAUGGGUUGCACCUAGGGGCCCUGAGCGGGGUGUCUGCGGUAGGUUUGUCUAAACACAGCCAGGAGAUGGCGCCUGGUGAAACAUGCGUGAUCACAAUGAGAGUUGAGUGAAUCCUGCUGAGAUGCUUCAAAAUGCUCGUGGAGGGAGCAACGUUCAUUUUGCUCUUAGAUUAGAUUAAGCAUAAAUGGAUCUCAAGGGAUUUUAAUCAUGUGGGAUCAGAAAAUUACCCGUUUUAGCAGGUUUGAGGCAGCAGUCAGAAAUCCCAUCAAAAGUCUACUAGAGCAGGAUAUAUCGCUAUCACUAAACGGUAUUUUACCGCAUUUUAUCCUAUUAACUAGGUUUCACUCUGCGAGCCACCUUUCAUUUGAGGAAAAGCAGUCAGUCAUCUUCCUAGGAAGCUGCUGACCAGGAGCCUCUGGUGUUAGGGGCCCUGAAGGCCAUGACAUGAUGAGGGCGAGGGGACAGAGGAGGCCUCCAGGCCUGGGAUUGCAGCCCACCCUGCACAAGCCUCUUCGUCUCUCUGAACCUCAGCUACUACACCUGUGAAAUGUGGAGAAUUUGUUCAUUGCUGAAACGAUUAUUGGCAUCAGAUGGGAAACCAGGCACUCCACCAAGCAGAAAAGAAAACAGAUACCAUGACAUGGUCUUGACCACUGAGGAAGGUCUCUGAGUGGGAAGGGUGCCCAGGGUGGAGGCUGUGGACCCUCAGGAGGACUCCUGUUGACCCUGAGGAAGGUCUCUGAGUAGGAAGGGUGCCCGGGGUGGAGGCCAUGGUAUCCUCUGUAGGACUCCUGUCACUCCUGUGAUUUCCUGGGAAGGGGAAAGACUCCAUGCUUAAGCAUCAGCAUUAGGGUUUGUCUUCUUCUGAGCGAAGCUGGAAAAUACCAACAAGGCAAGACAGCCUGCCACAUGUCCUCUGCUGUUUCACAUAGAAGAGCUUCUCAUAGUUUUGUGAUGCACCCAGCUUGCUUCAUGAUUGUAACUGAAAUCUGACUGAAUGUGUUAUUGGUAAAUUAACUGCCCACAAUCAUAAGUAGUUAGUAACUUGCUCCCUGCCUUGUUAUCCAUUGUCUUAUUGCAAAAACAAUAAGUUUAUGUGUUGUAUAGGUUAAGAUCAAAUGACAUCAAACAUAGAAAUUAAAAAUAAAUCCAGUUACUUACCCAGAAAGUCUCCCUAAAGAAUACCAUUUUCCUUGAUUAGGGCAUAUAAUAACCAGAUUUUUCAUGAGUCUUUACGUGUUUAUCUGGACGUCUGGUAAUUGCUUUAGAUCCUGCCUGGGAGUCAUUGUAUUGCAAUACAAGACCCCAGAGAAGUGACCGCCAAACUUUUAAAGGAGUAGAUAGUACAGUAGCUUAGGAUUUUCUUUUCUUUAGGCCAGUACUGAAAGCCGAUAAAAUGAUAGUCAGUUUUUCUUCAAGAUAAGGCAGGUAAAGACAGACAUAGAGGGCCAAUAUAUAAUGAUCAAAGGGACACUUCAUCAAGAAGAAAUAACGCUUAUAAAUGUCUAUGCACCCAAC
This 1536-nucleotide long non-coding RNA is filed under the name Equus asinus (donkey). Its description in RNAcentral is "lncRNA (ENSEASG00005028363.1)". The record is from RNAcentral. Lineage: Eukaryota; Metazoa; Chordata; Mammalia; Perissodactyla; Equidae.